CUCUGUUUCAAAAUAAAAAGUAUAAGAAGGGCUUCUGGGUGUAUGGACAUAUGAUAACUGGAAGGCCAACACAGGUCGCAUGAGACUCCCCAUCUCAAAACAACAACAAAGUGCCUCCAUUAACACCCUCAAACACAUUGACCUUCUUUAGGGUCCCAGGGUAGCACAAAUAAUAAAAAAAAAACAGUGACAGAUAUUGGGGUUCAAGCCAAAAACCAGAAAAGCAAAGCAGCCAAGUCACUAGAGAAGUCUUACCUCCCAAGGCUGGGCAACCACAGCCUAAGCUGACUAAGCCUCUCUCUCCUUUCAUUUUUAUAUUCCCUCUAAUCUAGUGCUAGGAUUAAAGGUGCGUGACUCCCUCGUACUGGAAUUAAAGGUGAGGCACCACCACCUGGAUUUGUUUCAGCGUUGACCUCCUGUAGCUGAGGGUGACCUUGAACUCACAGAGAUCCACCUGCCUCUGUCUGGGGGAUUAAAUCCUGGGAUUACAGGUGGUCUGCCACCACUGCCUGACCUCUAGUGGCUUUAGCCCUUCUGAUAUUUAGGCAAACUUUAAUUACUAAAACAUAAAUAAAAUAUCACUAUACUCUCCUGCAGAGGAAGCAGCACGAGGAAGCUUCCUUUUGUUUUUUGGGGGGGCUGAACCCUCUACUUCCCUAGGAUGAUAUUUGAGCACUGAAGAAUAUAUGAAGAACCAUGGCUUCCAGGCACUGGGAGGAUCUACUGAGCCCUGAGUACCAUCAAGACAGGAGGAUGUCUCAGAGAUACCCCCUUGCCUCAUAUGGCCUCUGUCAAUGAUCCGCCAAACCUUCUCUGUUCUUUCCACACUCUCUGAGACCCCUACAGUCACCCCGUGGUUACACAAGGUGACCUGGGAAAGGCAAAGGGGACUCCACCUGCACAGACACGUCACCAAACCUUUCUCUGACUCUUUCAACUUAAAGCUUUGUCAGGAAAAACAGGCACAGUUACUCCCAGACUUGACCCAUGUGUCCUCAGCAGGGUCAUUUCCUCCUUGGGGCUUGGGGACACAAAGGGAACAAGUGGAAGUUGCUGGAACCCAGGACCUUGAAGGAGAGCCUCACAGAACUGGACCCUGAUAUCUUAGAGAGGACAUCAGCCUGCUGCCCGUGGCUGUGCUGGGCUGGGCCAGGUGUGGAAACCUGGCCGAUCUGGCUUGGAGGGCGGAGACAACAGUGUUGGAAGAGCCCUGUUCUGCAGUAAAUGGACUGGACCACAGUGCAGCCCAGGGUUUUUCAUAUUGGUCCACAGACUGAUGAGGGAGGGAUACCUGGCUCAGGUGUGAGGUGUUCCGUUGCCUGUCUCAGUCAGAUAAUGAUGCUCCUGUCUGUUCUGGUCCUCACUUCGUAGCUUCCUCUGUUUACCCUAGAAGGAAUCAGCAUGGAAUGGCCUGGUUGCUUCUCCCAAAAUAGAAUAUAGAGUCAAAGUUCUGGGCGGAUGGAUCAGAGGGUAACGACGCGCUUGCUGCAAAAACAUCAGGACUCAAGUUCAAAUCCCCAGAAUUCAUGUGAAAACCUGGGAUGGCUUUGACUCCAGAGCUGGAGACUCCCAGAGAGGCAGGACCCUUGAAUUCACUGGCCAACCAGCUUCACUGAACUGGGCAGAAUAUAUCAAGACAGGAAAUCCAAGCAGAGAUAGAGGAAAGAAGGUGGAAUCAGAGACACCAUGUAGCUGCCCAAGAAGCAAGAGACAGUGUCUCAUAAAGCCCAGGAUGGUCUUGAACUGGUGAUGUAGCAGAAGCUGGACUUGAACACUUGAACAUCCCACCUCAGCCUCCUGAGUGCUGACAUGCACCAUCACACCUAACUGGUAAAUUCAGUUUUUAAUUCUAGUAGGUUUGCUGAAGAUUCUCUGAAAUGUUCUGUGUAAAUGAUCACGUCACACACAAAGAAGGACAGAGUACUUCUUUUAAAAAUCUAUAAUUAGUUUUUUUUCCUUACCUUAUUGCAAUAUCCAGGAUCUCUAGUUUGAAGUGGAACGGUAACUGACCUGAAUAGGUUUCUACAAAUGGCCUACUGCAGUGAGGGAAGGUUCCUUUUCUAGUUUACAAAAACACCAUCAUUCACUAAUUUCAAGCUUUUUUCUGGUGCAGUGUACCUAUUGAAAUUAGGUAUCGUGCUCUUAUUUUGUUAAUAUGACAAAUUACAUUGCUUGAGUCUCAAAUAUUAUAUUAAUCCUGCAUAAACCCUACGUGGUCGGGCUAUUUUCUCCUUUUACUAUAUUAUUGGGUUUAAUUUGUCAAAAUUGCUUUAGAGAUUUUUUUUAUCUAUGUCCAGGAAGAAUAUUGGUGUUUGUUUGUUUGACCAAUUGUUUUGUUUUGACAGUGUCUUGCUUUGCAGCCUAGGCCAGCUUCCAGUUCAUUACCCAACCCGGGCUGAAUCUCUUGAUCCCUGAGAUUAUAGGUGAAUGCUGAAGCUCUCAUUUUGUCAAUUUUGUUUAUGAAGUGAUUUCUUUCUUGUCGAUUUUUUGCAUUAGAGCUAUGCUAGUUUCUUUUUAACUUUUAUUGGUUCUUCGUGGAUUUCACAUUACCCAUUCUGAUCUCACUUCUCUCCCUAUCUCCUAGUAUUUGUCCUCUGCCCUUGUAACCUCCUCCCCAUAAACAAAACCAUAAGAAAAUCAAAACCAACACAAAAUAAAGAAACAAAACAAAAAGAAUGAGAAGGAGGAAGAUCUUAUUGUGGAAGCUGUAGUGUGACUGGUUGAAUCACACAAUUUACCUCAUUCAUCUUUACUUACAAGUGUUCAUUACUAUGAGUCAGUGGUCUACCUCCAGGCCUCUGGUGUCUCCUAGGUUACCGAUAAUGAGCUCUCACUGGGGCUCCUCUUGGAUAGCCUCUUGUUGUCCUCUGACACAGAGAUCCUGUUGUUUGUAUCUGUAGGUUUGUCCUCUUCACAUGUGCCAGCAUUUCAUAGAUUUUGGUGGAUGUUGGGGAUGGGUCAAUUCAUAGCCUUGGUUCUGGGCCUGCAUGGCAGCUAGGGUUGGUCAGCCCACUAGCUUUCCUUCAUCAUCACCACCAGGAAGAGCUCUCCAGCACGGCCUCAGUUAGCUCACCCAAUGCAGCCCACAGCAUGGAGCAGGGCCACUUCUACUCUAGGGCCCUCAGAUCAGAGUCCACUCACUCUUACAGCCAGAGCCAGCUCUAAUGUUUGAGAAGGAGGUCUUUACCCAAGUUGGGGGCUGGGACACAGCAAUGAGGAGGGGUAGAGGGAUUGGUAAUAGUGUUGGGUGGGAGGACACUGAGAAAGUUGGGGAGGUUCGCAGGUGGGCAGCCUACCUGGUGUUGGGGCAGUAGGGUUGGCCUCUGGUUGAGCAAUUCUCUAAUUAUUAUAUAAAGUUCCCAGCUUCUACAUUUUCUAAAGGAUUUUGUGGAAGAUUGGUGCAAUGGUUAAUCUUCAUUGACAACUUGUCAGAAUUUAGACUCUCCUAGGAGCUACUGGACACGCCCUGAUGGAUACUUCCAGAAAAAAGCACUGGGCAGUGAGGGCCCAUCCUAAACAUGAACUGCACCAUCAGUGGGCUUGAGUCCAAGACUAUACAAAGGGGACAGGAGAAAGUGAACUGAGCACUGACUGUCACCACUCUCUGCUUCCUGACUGCAGACACAGUCACCAGAUACACCAUAUUUCCACAGCCAUGCCCUCCCUGCCAUGACCACUAUGUCAUCAGAACCACGAGCCAGAAGACACUGUCCCCUUUAAGUUGCUCUUGUAUUUGCUCCCAAUAAGAAGAAGAGUAACAAAUACCAUGGGCGUCACUUUAUUCCAUCCUUGGGAUUUUUUAGUAGACUUUACCCAUAAAACUAUUUGAUCUUAAGAGUUUCCUGUGGAAAUUUUCUUUGAAUAUAACAAAUGAGGGUCUGGGGAGAUGGCUCAGUUGGUAAAGCAUUUGCUGUACAAGGUGAGGAUUUGAGUCUAGAGCCCGAGGAUUCAUAUAAAAACCAUGCAUGAGCCCUAGCAGUAGGGAUGGGGCAGGGCAGAGCUAGGCAGAUUCCCGAGAUCAGUCAGUCUAGACAGGGUUAGUUCCACUGUGGAAGAGACCGCAUCUUAAAAAGUGGCAGGUGUGCUGGCUAAUCUUGAUUGUCAACUUGAUGCACCUAGGAAGUAGGACCCUCAGCUGAAGAACUGCCUCCAUCAGAUUGGCACGUGAGUGUGUCUGUGGGCAUUAUCUUAAUUGCUAAUUGAUGUGGGGGAUGCCUGUGGUGCCAUCUCUGGGAGGGAGGACCUAGGCUGUCUAAGAAAGCAAGCUGAGCAAGCCAAUAAGCAGCAUUCCUCCAUGGUCUCCGCUCCAGUUCCUGCCUCCAGGUUCCUGCCUCAAAUCCUUUCUCUGUCCUCCCACAAAUGGUGGACUGUAAGUUGAAAUAACUGCUUUCUCUUACGUUGCUCUUGGUCACUGUUUUAUCAAGCAGCAGAAAGCAAACUAGGACUGAAGGCUAGAGGAAUGCGCACUAACCUCUACCUCUGACCUGCAUAAGCACAAGCUUACGUGUACUCACACACACAUGCAGACACACACAUAGGUGUAAACACACAUGUAUAUCUACACACAAAAAAACACAAAAGAACAAAUGAAAUUCAUUUAAUAGAUGGGUUGUUCUGAGUUUCUGCUUCAUUGCUGCCAGCUUGAAUGUUUGAUGGUUUCAGUGAUUGUGAGUUUGUUGCUAUGAAGUUAUUAAUUAUACCCCACUUCUCCUAUCAUCUUAAGGCCUGGAGUAUCUACAGCAGUAGCCUUUAUUUAUUUCUGGUCCUGGUCAUCUGCCUGCUCAGUCUCGCUAGUAUCCACCGAUUACCUGGAUCAGCAAUAACAUCACACGAUUCUGGAAUUCACAAAUGAAACAGGAGCCUUCAUUAUGAUAAGAAAAGCCCCAAACAGGAAAUGUCCCAACAGGUUUCCCAAAGAGCCGAAUGAAGAGCUGAGCAGAGCUCGGUACAGAAAGACACCAGAAAUUGUCAACACGGGAUGAUGUUACACCCUCCCUCCCUACUACACACCUUGCCAAGGGACUUUGGACAACGUCUGGAGACCACUUUGGACUAUCACAACAAAAGCAUAGGGGGGCACUGUUGGUGCCCAGUGGCUAGAAACUGAAUAGCCUACAUUACUUCCCACCAUGUUAAACAGAGACCCCACCAACACAGGAGAGACUGACUUAGCCCAGCAUGUCAGUGAUGGCAAGACUUAAGAAUCAUUGGUCUAAACAAAACGAUUGGAGGAUGAGUGGAUGAAUGAAUGAAUGAAUGAAUGAAUGAACGAACGAAUGUGACUUGGCACUGUUGUGAGUCCUGGGGAUGAAGAUAAGCAAAACACUCUCUCCCUCAAAAGCUCCUAAUCCGGAGCAGAAGGGAUGGAAUUCUGGCCAGGACGUGAAGCGGAGAUGGAGGGUAAAUGGCGAUGUGACAUGUUCUUGGCAAACUGGGGACACCACACGAAACCCAGUGUGCCUGGAGCGCAACUGGGAAGAGCGACCAAGACAGGCCUCAGACGGCACUGAGUGCUGCCGCUGUCCCUAGGUGCUGUCUCCUAGGCACACGUCUCAGGAAGGCAACUGAGAUGGUGACACAGUCAGAUCUUGUUCACAGCAAACACUUAGCAGCUCUGGUUGAAAAAAUUCUUCCCUCCAGCCAAGAAUUAGUACACUAGUCUCAAUCCAUAAAUCUGCCCAUGAUGACCUCAUGCACCAAACAGUAGAAUACGCUGGAGCCUUGGAGAAUACCCUGGAACACUCUGCCCACGCAGAUGUGACCCAUUCUUUUCAAAGCACAAUCCAGUAAUUUUUAAUAAAUCUGAAGACUUGUGCAAUGAUCACGAUAAUCCAAUUUUAGAAUAUUUCUGUCACCCCAAAGAGUCCCCCGUGUGCACUUGUUCUCAAUCACCAUCCUAACCCCAGCCUGAGGCGGUCACCAAUCUGCUGCCUGUCUCUUUGUAGCUGCCAUUUCAAGACAAUUCAAACAAAUGGAACCCUGCAGUAGCUGCUCUUGUGCCUGCAGCUUCUCUCGCUUAGCGUGAAUCAGUAGUUUGUCCCUCUCUAUUGCUGAGUGCCGCCUCAGCCCUAUGCCUAUUUAAAAGACUGCGCUGGUUAGAGGAUGAAGGAUGGAGCAGAGAAAAGAGAAAGACCAGUUAGAAGAUGGUGUUAGUCUGCGUGGAAGAAUGACUGAGCACCAAGCAAGAGGGAAAAGGGGCGAGAGGCACCAGGGCCUGGAAGCAGCUGACGGGAGGGUGAUUUGGAAGGGUUGCUCAUGCAUCAGAUCUGUGUGGGCAGAGGGAGAAGACUGGAAUAGGGUUAGAGCCCCACUGGGCUAUGAAAAGGGAUGUGAGCUGAUUGUAACUGUGGGGACAUUCAUACCUGUUUGAAAGAACCACCAUUCUACAGAUCUAAGCAAGCCUGGGCACUGCUGGGAAGCUGGCUUCUAGGGCUUUGGGAUGAAGAUAAUGAUAACAAGUUUGUGGAAGGAAUAAAUGGCACAAAGCUGUGAGGGACUGCAGGUUGAGGAGGGGGUAACACAAUCUCAGCAGGUUCAAAUGAAGGACCAGGGAUGAAUCGUGCUGGUAAUGCCCAGUGGUCACUAGUUCUGG
Long non-coding RNA from Alexandromys fortis (reed vole), 6592 nucleotides. RefSeq lists it as uncharacterized. Lineage: Eukaryota; Metazoa; Chordata; Mammalia; Rodentia; Cricetidae. The record is from RefSeq and is a predicted model, not a curated record. The transcript has 8 exons.